GACGAACGCUGGCGGCGUGCUUAACACAUGCAAGUCGAACGGUGAAGCGCCUUCCUUUUUGGUGGGUGUGGAUGAGUGGCGAACGGGUGAGUAACACGUUAGUAACCUGCCCCCUUCUUCUGGAUAACCGCAUGAAAGUGUGGCUAAUACGGGAUAUUCUGGGUCUGUCGCAUGAUGGGUCUGGGAAAGAUAUUGUUUCGGUGGGGGAUGGGCUCGCGGCCUAUCAGCUUGUUGGUGGGGUGACGGCCUACCAAGGCGGUGACGGGUAGCCGGCCUGAGAGGGUGGACGGUCCCAGUGGGACUGAGCCACGGCGCAGACUCCUACGGGAGGCAGCAGGGGGGAAUACUGAACAAUGGGCGCAAGCCUGAUGCAGCGACGCCGCGGGAGGGAUGGAGGCCUUCGGGUUGUGAACCUCUUUCGCCAGUGAAGCAGGCCUGCCUCGUUUGUGGGUGGGUUGACGGUAGCUGGAUAAGAAGCGCCGGCUAACUACGUG
This 494-nucleotide ribosomal RNA is filed under the name uncultured bacterium. RNAcentral's name for it is "partial 16S ribosomal RNA". It matches the Rfam family "Bacterial small subunit ribosomal RNA", at positions 28 to 507 of the family's 1533-position model. The record is from RNAcentral.